RNAcentral lists this ribosomal RNA (602 nucleotides) under Clostridium botulinum. RNAcentral describes it as "bacterial SSU rRNA". It matches the Rfam family "Bacterial small subunit ribosomal RNA", at positions 940 to 1533 of the family's 1533-position model. The record is from RNAcentral. Lineage: Bacteria; Bacillati; Bacillota; Clostridia; Eubacteriales; Clostridiaceae.
UGUGGUUUAAUUCGAAGCAACGCGAAGAACCUUACCUAGACUUGACAUCUCCUGAAUUACUCUUAAUCGAGGAAGUCGCUUCGGCGACAGGAAGACAGGUGGUGCAUGGUUGUCGUCAGCUCGUGUCGUGAGAUGUUGGGUUAAGUCCCGCAACGAGCGCAACCCUUAUUGUUAGUUGCUACCAUUUAGUUGAGCACUCUAGCGAGACUGCCGUGGUUAACGCGGAGGAAGGUGGGGAUGACGUCAAAUCAUCAUGCCCCUUAUGUCUAGGGCUACACACGUGCUACAAUGGCUGGUACAAAGAGAUGCAAUACCGCGAGGUGGAGCUAAACUAUAAAACCAGUCUCAGUUCGGAUUGUAGGCUGAAACUCGCCUACAUGAAGCUGGAGUUGCUAGUAAUCGCGAAUCAGAAUGUCGCGGUGAAUACGUUCCCGGGCCUUGUACACACCGCCCGUCACACCAUGAGAGUUGGCAAUACCCAAAGUUCGUGAGCUAACCCGUAAGGGAGGCAGCGACCUAAGGUAGGGUCAGCGAUUGGGGUGAAGUCGUAACAAGGUAGCCGUAGGAGAACCUGCGGCUGGAUCACCUCCUUUCUAUGGAGA